AACGCACAUUGCGCCCUUUGGAAUUCCGAAGGGCAUGCCUGUUCGAGCGUCAUUAUCACCCCUCAAGCCCCGUGCUUGGCGUUGGACGGCCGGUCGAGCGAUCGACCCCUCCGAAAGACAAUGACGGCGGCCUGUAGUUCCCCCGGUACACUGAGCUUUUCACGGAGCACGUAUCGGACUUAAGGGCGCCCGGGACCCGGUCUUCUCCUCUCACCAGGAAACUUCUAAGGUUGACCUCGGAUCAGGUAGGAAUACGCGCUGAACUUAA
This 268-nucleotide unclassified non-coding RNA is filed under the name uncultured fungus. RNAcentral describes it as "partial contains 5.8S ribosomal RNA, internal transcribed spacer 2, and large subunit ribosomal RNA". Lineage: Eukaryota; Fungi. The record is from RNAcentral.